Molecule: ribosomal RNA, 427 nt
Filed under: uncultured bacterium
Lineage: Bacteria
Description: bacterial SSU rRNA
Rfam family: Bacterial small subunit ribosomal RNA
Source: RNAcentral
UGGGGAAUUUUGGACAAUGGGCGCAAGCCUGAUCCAGCCAUGCCGCGUGCGGGAAGAAGGCCUUCGGGUUGUAAACCGCUUUUGUCAGGGAAGAAACGAGUUUCUCUAAUACAGAGACUUUAUGACGGUACCUGAAGAAUAAGCACCGGCUAACUACGUGCCAGCAGCCGCGGUAAUACGUAGGGUGCAAGCGUUAAUCGGAAUUACUGGGCGUAAAGCGUGCGCAGGCGGUUAUGCAAGACAGAUGUGAAAUCCCCGGGCUCAACCUGGGAACUGCAUUUGUGACUGCAUAGCUGGAGUGCGGCAGAGGGGGAUGGAAUUCCGCAUGUAGCAGUGAAAUGCGUAGAGAUGCGGAGGAACGCCGAUGGCGAAGGCAGCCUCCUGGGCCAGUACUGACGCUCAUGCACGAAAGCGUGGGGAGCAAACA